RNAcentral lists this ribosomal RNA (548 nucleotides) under uncultured bacterium. RNAcentral describes it as "bacterial SSU rRNA". It matches the Rfam family "Bacterial small subunit ribosomal RNA", at positions 355 to 896 of the family's 1533-position model. The record is from RNAcentral.
UGGGGAAUUUUGGACAAUGGGCGCAAGCCUGAUCCAGCAAUGCCGCGUGAGUGAAGAAGGCCUUCGGGUUGUAAAGCUCUUUUGUCAGGGAAGAAACGGUGAGUUCUAAUACAGCUUGCUAAUGACGGUACCUGAAGAAUAAGCACCGGCUAACUACGUGCCAGCAGCCGCGGUAAUACGUAGGGUGCAAGCGUUAAUCGGAAUUACUGGGCGUAAAGCGUGCGCAGGCGGUUAUAUAAGUCAGAUGUGAAAUCCCCGGGCUCAACCUGGGAACUGCAUUUGAGACUGUAUGGCUAGAGUGUGUCAGAGGGGGGUAGAAUUCCACGUGUAGCAGUGAAAUGCGUAGAUAUGUGGAGGAAUACCGAUGGCGAAGGCAGCCCCCUGGGAUAACACUGACGCUCAUGCACGAAAGCGUGGGGAGCAAACAGGAUUAGAUACCCUGGUAGUCCACGCCCUAAACGAUGUCUACUAGUUGUCGGGACUUAAUUGUCUUGGUAACGCAGCUAACGCGUGAAGUAGACCGCCUGGGGAGUACGGUCGCAAGAUUA